AUUGAACGCUGGCGGCAUGCCUUACACAUGCAAGUCGAACGGCAGCACGGGAGCAAUCCUGGUGGCGAGUGGCGAACGGGUGAGUAAUAUAUCGGAACGUGCCCAGUCGUGGGGGAUAACGUAGCGAAAGCUACGCUAAUACCGCAUACGAUCUAUGGAUGAAAGCGGGGGAUCGCAAGACCUCGCGCGAUUGGAGCGGCCGAUAUCAGAUUAGGUAGUUGGUGAGGUAAAGGCUCACCAAGCCGACGAUCUGUAGCUGGUCUGAGAGGACGACCAGCCACACUGGGACUGAGACACGGCCCAGAUUCCUACGGGAGGCAGCAGUGGGGAAUUUUGGACAAUGGGCGCAAGCCUGAUCCAGCAAUGCCGCGUGCAGGAUGAAGGCCUUCGGGUUGUAAACUGCUUUUGUACGGAACGAAACGGUGAGCUCUAAUACAGUUUGCUAAUGACGGUACCGUAAGAAUAAGCACCGGCUAACUACGUG
RNAcentral lists this ribosomal RNA (484 nucleotides) under uncultured bacterium. Its description in RNAcentral is "bacterial SSU rRNA". It matches the Rfam family "Bacterial small subunit ribosomal RNA", at positions 30 to 507 of the family's 1533-position model. The record is from RNAcentral.